This is a small nucleolar RNA of Gasterosteus aculeatus aculeatus (three-spined stickleback), 264 nucleotides long. The record is from Ensembl. NCBI's taxonomy places the organism in Eukaryota, Metazoa, Chordata, Actinopteri, Perciformes, Gasterosteidae.
GAGAUGCCCCCUGCACGGACCGUUGCUCGUGGGCUCAACAAGGUGGCAGAAAGCAACUCAAAGAAUGAAAAGGCGUGACUUCUGGAGCCUCGGGAGACUCACGUGCGAUGUUCCUUGGACACAAUCCUCCUGCCUUCCACGGCGGUGGCGGUCUCGCUCUGUAGCCGCCACCUUUCUUAAGGCAGGUAGAGAAAAGCCUGGCAGCUAGAUGCCGUUUGAACCAGGGGGAGGUCUUCCUGCCGAGAACGCUCAACUGUCACAAUA